Molecule: long non-coding RNA, 560 nt
Filed under: Bos taurus (domestic cattle)
Lineage: Eukaryota; Metazoa; Chordata; Mammalia; Artiodactyla; Bovidae
Description: long non-coding RNA NONBTAT015439
Source: RNAcentral
UUCAGGGAAUGCUUGCAAUCGCUCGGUGUUUUCCAGCAUGUGUCAGGGUGACUGAUGGGCUCGUCACAGCUCAGACACCCAUCAACCCAGUGCUGGAGCCAGUUUAACCUUCCUUAAACACCAGCCUCAAGGGCAAACCAAGGGCAGGGUUUUGUCGGCUCCUCUCUCCAAGGCUCGGCCUUCCUGCUGCAGUUUUCCCUUCCCUGCAUCCUCUCGCUCCUCUCAAAAUCAUCUACAGGAUGGACCCAAGGUGGUUGUUCAUCGCCACAAGUAAGACUGUUCUUUGGUUACAAGCUGCCAGCAUUUUGAAGCAAGUGCAUGUAAAUAUUUCAUUCCUGACAGCGAGAUUUAUUAAGAGAAACCUUGUGCAUUUUCUGGAAGAAUUUUAAGAGGCUUUUAUUCAUUGGGCAUCCCAGAGCCUACGGAAUUUGGUUCAGGGAGGGAGGGGAGCGUUGAGUAUCAUCUGUGAAUGGGCUCUUUUCUUUUUUACACUCACACUUCAAAAUCUGGGCUGAGUUCUGGCAGCUCAGGACUGGAAUAAAGUCCUGAGCUAGAAUAGA